UUGGAGGGCAAGUCUGGUGCCAGCAGCCGCGGUAAUUCCAGCUCCAAUAGCGUAUAUUAAAGUUGCUGCAGUUAAAAAGCUCGUAGUUGAAUUUCGAGACCAAUAUGUCGGUCGUGCCUCGGUACGUACUGGCAUCGUUGGUUUCUCCCUUCUGACGAACCAUGAUGUCAUUUAUUUGGUGUCGUGGGGAAUCAGGACUGUUACUUUGAAAAAAUUAGAGUGUUUAAAGCAGGCUCACGCUUGAAUACAUUAGCAUGGAAUAAUGAAAUAGGACGUUUGAUUCUAUUUUGUUGGUUUCUAGGAUCGACGUAAUGAUUAAUAGGGAUAGUUGGGGGCAUUAGUAUUCAAUUGUCAGAGGUGAAAUUCUUGGAUUUAUUGAAGACUAACUACUGCGAAAGCAUUUGCCAAGGAUGUUUUCAUUAAUCAAGAACGAAAGUUAGGGGAUCGAAGACGAUCAGAUACCGUCGUAGUCUUAACCAUAAACUAUGCCGACUAGGGAUCGGAUGAUGUUAAUUUUUUAAUGACUCAUUCGGCGCCUUACGGGAAACCAAAGUGUUUGGGUUC
This 564-nucleotide ribosomal RNA is filed under the name uncultured Glomeromycotina. RNAcentral describes it as "SSU rRNA". It matches the Rfam family "Eukaryotic small subunit ribosomal RNA", at positions 548 to 1114 of the family's 1831-position model. Lineage: Eukaryota; Fungi; Glomeromycota. The record is from RNAcentral.